UACAGAGGGUGCGAGCGUUAAUCGGAAUUACUGGGCGUAAAGGGUGCGUAGGUGGUUUUGUAAGUAACAUGUGAAAGUCCUGAGCUUAACUUGGGGAUUGCGUGUUAAACUGCAGAGCUAGAGUGUUGUAGAGGGUGGCGGAAUUUCCGGUGUAGCGGUGAAAUGCGUAGAUAUCGUCAAGAACACCUAUAGCGAAGGCAGCUUACUAGGCUGUAACUGACGCUGAGGCACGAAAGUGUGGGGAUCAAACAGG
RNAcentral lists this ribosomal RNA (253 nucleotides) under uncultured bacterium. RNAcentral describes it as "partial 16S ribosomal RNA". It matches the Rfam family "Bacterial small subunit ribosomal RNA", at positions 524 to 776 of the family's 1533-position model. The record is from RNAcentral.